GACGAACGCUGGCGGCGUGCUUAACACAUGCAAGUCGAACGGACGAGUGAGAUAAGUUUACUUAACUCACAAGUUAGUGGCGGACGGGUGAGUAACACGUGGAUAAUCUACCUGCAACACCGGGAUAACGCUGUGAAAACGGUGCUAAUACCGGAUACGUUCCCUUAUGCGCAUGUAUGAGGGAAGAAAGCUCAGGCGGUUGCAGAUGAGUCCGCGGCUGAUUAGCUAGUUGGUGAGGUAAAGGCUCACCAAGGCGAUGAUCAGUAGCCGGCCUGAGAGGGUGAACGGCCACACUGGGACUGAGACACGGCCCAGACUCCUACGGGAGGCAGCAGUGGGGAAUCUUCCGCAAUGGGCGCAAGCCUGACGGAGCAACGCCGCGUGGGUGAAGAAGGCCUUCGGGUUGUAAAGCCCUGUCUUAUGGGAAGAAGUCAGUGACGGUACCAUAGGAGGAAGCCACGGCUAACUACGUG
This 473-nucleotide ribosomal RNA is filed under the name uncultured bacterium. RNAcentral describes it as "bacterial SSU rRNA". It matches the Rfam family "Bacterial small subunit ribosomal RNA", at positions 28 to 507 of the family's 1533-position model. The record is from RNAcentral.